CUGAGGGGUCUCGGGCUCCAGUUCUCAAGGGCCGGUGUGGCCUGCGGUUUUUAGAUGCGCCACAGGUACAAAACACUGGAAUGAAAUGGCUUAAUUGCCUCCUCCUUGUGUAGAUCAGUUCUCCAGAGCCUUGCUAAAGACCUAAUUAUACUAUUCAGGUGUGGUGCA
Long non-coding RNA from Xiphophorus couchianus (Monterrey platyfish), 168 nucleotides. RefSeq lists it as uncharacterized. Lineage: Eukaryota; Metazoa; Chordata; Actinopteri; Cyprinodontiformes; Poeciliidae. The transcript has 3 exons. The record is from RefSeq and is a predicted model, not a curated record.